ACAAGCGGUGGAUGAUGUGGUUUAAUUCGAUGCAACGCGAAAACCUUACCACCUUUGACAUGUACGGAAGCCUUUAGAGAUAGAGGCGUGCUCGAAAGAGAGCCGUAACACAGGUGCUGCAUGGCUGUCGUCAGCUCGUGUCGUGAGAUGUUGGGUUAAGUCCCGCAACGAGCGCAACCCUUGUCAUUAGUUGCUACAUUCAGUUGGGCACUCUAAUGAGACUGCCGGUGACAAACCGGAGGAAGGUGGGGAUGACGUCAAGUCCUCAUGGCCCUUAUGGGUAGGGCUUCACACGUAAUACAAUGGUCGGUACAGAGGGUUGCCAACCCGCGAGGGGGAGCCAAUCCCAGAAAACCGAUCGUAGUCCGGAUUGCAGUCUGCAACUCGACUGCAUGAAGUCGGAAUCGCUAGUAAUCGCGGAUCAGCAUGUCGCGGUGAAUACGUUCCCGGGCCUU
This 455-nucleotide ribosomal RNA is filed under the name uncultured Rhodoferax sp. RNAcentral describes it as "bacterial SSU rRNA". It matches the Rfam family "Bacterial small subunit ribosomal RNA", at positions 925 to 1382 of the family's 1533-position model. Lineage: Bacteria; Pseudomonadati; Pseudomonadota; Betaproteobacteria; Burkholderiales; Comamonadaceae. The record is from RNAcentral.